Molecule: ribosomal RNA, 450 nt
Filed under: uncultured bacterium
Lineage: Bacteria
Description: partial 16S ribosomal RNA
Rfam family: Bacterial small subunit ribosomal RNA
Source: RNAcentral
GUGGGGAAUUUUGGACAAUGGGCGCAAGCCUGAUCCAGCAAUGCCGCGUGCAGGAAGAAGGCCUUCGGGUUGUAAACUGCUUUUGUACGGAACGAAAAGGCUCUGGUUAAUACCUGGGGCUCAUGACGGUACCGUAAGAAUAAGCACCGGCUAACUACGUGCCAGCAGCCGCGGUAAUACGUAGGGUGCAAGCGUUAAUCGGAAUUACUGGGCGUAAAGCGUGCGCAGGCGGUUUUGUAAGACAGGCGGGAAAUCCCCGGGCUCAACCUGGGAAUGGCGCUUGUGACUGCAAGGCUGGAGUGCGGCAGAGGGGGAUGGAAUUCCGCGUGUAGCGGUGAAAUGCGUAGAUAUGCGGAGGAACACCGAUGGCGAAGGCAAUCCCCUGGGCCUGCACUGACGCUCAUGCACGAAAGCGUGGGGAGCAAACAGGAUUAGAUACCCGGGUAGUCC